Long non-coding RNA from Herpailurus yagouaroundi (jaguarundi), 4924 nucleotides. RefSeq lists it as uncharacterized. Lineage: Eukaryota; Metazoa; Chordata; Mammalia; Carnivora; Felidae. The record is from RefSeq and is a predicted model, not a curated record. The transcript is spliced from 3 exons.
UUGGACGCUCCACCGACUGAGCCACCCAGGCACCCCAGUAAAUUUGUUCUUAGUUUAUUUUUUUAAUGAUAUUUUUCUUUCCUUUGUGAUGUGAACAUAGAGCUCUUUCCAAAGCACAUCCCAUACGCUCAUGCUGUGAAAUAUCUUGUGGUAAGCACUUACAGGACAAGACAUCUGUACAGAUACUGAUUUAUAACAACUCCAAGCUACACUAAAUGGGGAAAAAUGUGAACAGCAUAUGAUCAGUAGAAUCAUCUUAGUAGGCAUUGGGGCCCGAGUCAAGCUUAAGACAAAAUGGCAUCUAGUCCAGAUUGCUCUUAAUUCCCUUAGCAAGUUGUCACAUUGGAGCCCCACAUGCUCUUUUGUAACCACACCUACUGUCCCUCAGCAUUGGAGCCCAUCACCAAUGGGCUUGAAUUUAGGGACUUCCAGGAAAAGUGUUUCUCUAAACACUCGAAUCACAUAAGGGAGCUGAAAGCUUACCCCACACCCUCCCUUAUACUGCUUCUUGGGCAUAUGGUCCCUCAGUGGGAUGGCCAACCCCGGCACAAAUAGUUAUAUUCACAGAAGUUAAACACUUCCAUGAUGCGACUACCCUGUGUAAAUUCGCUGGGGGGCGGAGAGGGGUGGGCAGGGAGGAAGCAGUUUAGGGGCAGAGAAGAGCAUGGGCGGAUAUGCCAGAUCUUGAAGGAUACAGUUAAACUAGUACAGUGACUACAUCUGGAGACAAUAGUUAUUGUGUCAUUUGUAGACUUUGUGUACUAUAAAAAAAUGUUUUUGAAAAGUAAUGUAAGAAUUUCAAAGUCAAGAACAAAAGGCCAUUCUAGAUACUGGGCCCUCCCGGGGAAUCCCCCCCUGGGUCUGGUUUCGUCCCAGAGGGAUGAUGCUGGAAGCGUGGGCACCAGCCACUUAGACUUCGGUGAGACAUAAAAACCGUGCUGAAUUUGCUGUUGCCAUCACAGCCUUCUGUGAAAGUAAAUGGCAAGAAGCGCUCCUCUCCCACAACCCGUACCCUCCAGAGUGCGCUGCGGGUAAGCAGCAGACCUCUGCCGCAGCAGGGCCAGGGGUCUGGAGGGAAAGGUGCUCCGCUGCCACCUCGUGUGACUUGCCGAGUUUGCGUUUCUCCCCACAGUUGUCGAGCGCCUGACACUCGGGUGGGCCCAGGACAGCUCUGCCCUUUCUCUUCCUGCUAACGACUCGACUGGAGCCGCCUCUUUCAUGGGUGCUGCCCCUCUGAUGGGGUCAACACACAGAGGGCCGUCAGCCCAGAUGAGAAGACCAAGGCACAGAGAUGAGUGUUCCUGAGCUCACACAGUGAUGCCCCCCUUGGCGGAAGCAGAUUUCAAACUCAGGCUGUUCAACCCCCGUGCUGGGCUCUUAAAUCACUUGACUUCUUUGACCUGCUGUUUCCUCCUCAGCAAAAUCAGCCUGAUGGGGAAAACACAUGAAGUGUGCCUCAGAGCUGGGCUGGAAGAGAUGCCUACGAGCGAGAUGUGUUGUUUUCACACAACAAAAAGCUAUACAGCAACGAAAAGGGACAAAUUGCAGCUACAGGUGGAGCAGCAGAGGAAGCAUAUGACUCCCGUGCAUGGUGAAGACAGCAAGAGCCUGCAAAUACGGAGUCCUGUAAUGCAAACCACGAGUGCCUCUGAGCUGUGGUAGGCGCACUCCAAAUCGCAAAUCCGCAAGGCAUUGCACAUCUGGAUGGAGCACGAGCCUUGGAAAAAUUGUGCCUCUUGGUAUCCAUGGUGUCUGAAGCAAAGCAAAACAGUAUGUGAAGGGUGGGAUAUGGAAACACGGUGGCUGGAGCCCCUUAUUAAGGGGUGUCGAAUGUCACUGACAGCCGCUGCCCUUCUACUGCAUGAAGGUGAUAAAUGUUAACAGGGACUCUCACGAGUUCUCUCACUUGGGUCUCCCCCAGCUGUCUCCAUCAAGUCUUAAGUUGUGAAUCCUCCUGGCAGUUGGGAGGGAAUACAGUAAAUUCAGUCGAUAUAGUGGAAUAGGCCUGUACACACAGUAGCCCCUGGGUUCCAAGGCCCCCUCCAAAGCUGCCCCCACCCCAAGGCUGCCCUCAUGUUCACUUGAAGUCUAAAGAACAGAAGCCUUCCAAGCCUCUUUUUUUGGUAUUGGAAACCUACCUAUGCCAACAUGUCAGGUUCUUGGUGACUGUCAGGAGCCCCCGCCUAGGAGAGGUAGUGGGAAGCCACAGUUCUCCCCCUCCGAGCUGGCUACCGGGAGAUGUGCUGCUGGGAAAGCAAAUCUCAGACCCCACGUGCGACAGCGACUAGGGAGCACGUGAAAAAGACUCCUGCCACCGAAAGCUUGGCAAAGCGUCUGUUCGCUCUCUGCAGAUGCACGUCCAUGGGGAACAGGAGGAUGGGUGGCAGGGGAGAGCAGAAUCCCACGGGAAUCUGCUGCUAAGGGUCUGCGGGUGGGGACGGGGGCAGUGAACUCCCUAUAGGAGUUCCAGACUCAAACCUUCUGCAGAUCUUAGGUGGUUGGGCCUGCCAGGUUCUCAUGCCCCAAGUCUACUGGGGACAGAGGUACCUAGAUAACAUUUCUGGCCACUCACAUAUUUGGACUGGAUUCACUUCACCAACGACGAAGUUAUAAUGACAGGGAGUAGAGAUUCAUUCCCGGAGGUUGUGCUCACUUUGGUCCGUGUGCUGGCAGAGGGGAAGGGGCGGAGUAGAGAUACUCGACACAAGUUCCUUACCAGCCCCGGGCCGGCCCCGGCCCCAGGGAAUCCCAGCAACCCCAAGUAAGGGAAAUGAAGAACCUCAAGCUUCUUUAGGCAGCGAACCCCACAGGGGCCACCAGCCUUUGCUGUGGGAAGAGGGCAUUAGCUGUCCCCUUGAGCCCCACUUGCUCGGGGAAGCUGUUGAGGCCUGAAGGGAGCUUCAGGUCACCUCACGUUCCCCAGAAGGCUGAGUUUACAUGGUGUGGGGAACCCAGGGUGGCUGCCACCUUCCCCUCCCACUGGGGGCUCCGUGAGCCUCAGAGGCACCAGCAUCCAGAAGCUCUCCAAACCCCAUACUUCAGGGAUUUUUAUGGAGGCCUUACUAUGGGGAUGAACCCAGGGGAUGGGUGGGGGGAAGUGCUGAACAUCCCAGGCUUCUGACCAUGCUUGGUCUUUCAGGUCACCAACCCCUGUGCUGAAGGUAGCCAGGAAGGAGCCUGCCAAGAGUCACUUCAUUAGAGCAAAAGAUAUUCCCAUCACCCAGGAAACUCCAAGGGAUUUGGGAGCUCUGUGUCAGGAAGCAAGGGCAAACAAGAGAUGCUCCUAGCACCUUAACGGAGUAGGAAAUUACAAAGGUUUUAGGAGUUCUGGCCAGGAGCUGGGUUCAAACACCAAAAUAUAUAGUUCUUCUGCCAUCAUAACAUCACAUUGUAACAAGGAGUUCAUGGCUGUGCAAAAUCCCCUGGGGAGCCCGGCUGCAAUUUUCUAGGUGCACAGACCUUUAAAAAAUGAAGUCGAUUUAAAAUCCAUGCUAAUACAGUAGCAGGAAGCUUCUAGCAGUCUGUGACUAUUUAAAUUACAUUUCAUUUAAUUUAAAUUUAAAGGAAAAUUCAAUUCUUUUGUUGUACUAGCCACUUUUCAAGCGCUCUGUAGCUGGCUAAUGACCACCAUAUUGGUCAGUGCAGAUAAAGAAAAUUUUAAUUGGACAAUGCUGUUUUAAAUGCCUUCACUAAAACAAUAAGACUUUAUCACCAUCAAAGAAAAAAUAGUUUCAAUGUAGUAUAAUCGUGUUUUUAAGAACAGAUUUGAACAGGCUUCCCAAAUGUAAUUGUGCAUAAGAAUCAUCUAGGGAAUCUUGUAAAAAUUCACGUUCUGAUUCCGCAGGUCUGGGGUGAGGCCCUAGAUUCUGCAUUUCUAGUAAGCCCACAGGUCAUGCUAAUGUUGCUGGUCUUUGGACCAUCCUUUUGGGCAGUGAGGGAUCACUGGAUUAAUUAAAAAACACCCAGGGUACAUUUUAUUGAUGAACCUUGGGAAUGGGAAGCAAGUUCGAAAUUGCAUCAUGAGUGAUGAGCGUCAUCUUUCACUCCUGGCCAGAUACCUUGGCCGCUGUGGACUUCAUUCAGACAGUAUGUCUCAAGCCUAAAUUUCAGGCCUGUUGUUAGGCCCCGCCCAAAGGCCCGUUUCCCAGAGUGAUAGGUCCUGGCAUCAGGAACAGCUUCCCUCUUAGGGCCCCAUCAGGCCAAAAGGCCCCGGCUCCCCCGGGAAUCAAGGCGACUUGCCAUGACAGCUGCCGGGGACAGCUCCUCUCAGAACAGUGAACUGGAUGCCUUGUCUCAGCCUCUCCUUUAUUUCUUGUCUUUUUCUCAAAUGUAAAAAUAGAGAAGUUCAAAGCCCCCAUAUUCCCACCGCCCCAAAUUACCACCGUUACAAUUUGUCACAUAUUCCUUCCAGUGCGUCCCACGUAUGUUGUUGAUUCAGUGGCCUGAGAUGAACAUAGCCGCCGAGUGUUCACACCUGGUGUGGUGCUGGCCCUGUGACUUACCUAACUACGGGAUGUGGCGGAGGUGAUGCUGUGCCAGCCCUGAGGCAAAGUCUUGAGGAAGCCUGACAGUUUCUGGGUUUUCACUGAUGGAAGCUCUUUGUGCCUGGCCACUCUGCUGGAGUGAUCACAUUGGCGACUGCGUGGAGAGACAGCCGGACGAGGACUGACCAGGAGGCCCAGCCUACGCGGAGACGCAAGGCCUCGGCUUGCAGCUGAGUGAGGCUACCAGGUGGCUCCCAGCAAGACCAGCCAAGGGACUGCCCCAGAGAGCUCAGCCAAGGUGGAAGAACCAGGAGCAAAUAAAACGGUACUGGUUUGGGGGCACGGGGGUGGUUCAUUCGGCUGAGCAUCUGACUCUUGAUUUGGGCUCAGGUCAUGAUCCCAGGGUUGUGGAAUCAAGCCCUGCGUCAGGCUCCAUGCUG